Long non-coding RNA from Hypanus sabinus (Atlantic stingray), 479 nucleotides. RefSeq lists it as uncharacterized. The record is from RefSeq and is a predicted model, not a curated record. The transcript has 4 exons. Lineage: Eukaryota; Metazoa; Chordata; Chondrichthyes; Myliobatiformes; Dasyatidae.
AGGUCCACAUAAACGGGAGUCGAAAGAGAACAUCGGAAAUACACCGUACCGGAGGAUCUGCCUAUUCUGUCUCGUUGCAUCCGCCCUCAUCGCGAUAGUGGCCGGGCUCUCGAUCUAUGUGUUACAGAUACGUCAGUCUCAAAUCACCUCCAACCGAAACCAACAGAUACUCUGCCAAUUCCUGAAAACUAGUAGAGAGCAAUCGUGUUCCCAGGACUGGAUCAAAAAUGAAGACCGCUGUUAUUUCAUAUCCACGUUGGAAACAUCUUACGAUGGAGCGAAGAAAAAUUGUUCAAACUUUGAUGCAAGAUUGCUGGAAAUAAAUUCAAAGGAGGAGGAGAAUGUUGUUUCAAACGCUCUCGUUCAUCAAGACAGAACAUAUUGGAUUGCAAAAUGCGCACACGGGUGAGAUUCGGAAUUUUACUGGCCUGUGGCUUGGGACGGCGUCAGUGGGAUGCGUUUGGAGACACACUGGGACU